This 510-nucleotide ribosomal RNA is filed under the name bacterium enrichment culture clone ALO1_GLFRUDD03GQ1BM. RNAcentral describes it as "bacterial SSU rRNA". It matches the Rfam family "Bacterial small subunit ribosomal RNA", at positions 9 to 514 of the family's 1533-position model. The record is from RNAcentral.
GAGUUUGAUCUUGGCUCAGAUUGAACGCUGGCGGCAGGCCUAACACAUGCAAGUCGAGCGGAUGACGGGAGCUUGCUCCUUGAUUCAGCGGCGGACGGGUGAGUAAUGCCUAGGAAUCUGCCUGGUAGUGGGGGACAACGUUUCGAAAGGAACGCUAAUACCGCAUACGUCCUACGGGAGAAAGCAGGGGACCUUCGGGCCUUGCGCUAUCAGAUGAGCCUAGGUCGGAUUAGCUAGUUGGUGGGGUAAUGGCUCACCAAGGCGACGAUCCGUAACUGGUCUGAGAGGAUGAUCAGUCACACUGGAACUGAGACACGGUCCAGACUCCUACGGGAGGCAGCAGUGGGGAAUAUUGGACAAUGGGCGAAAGCCUGAUCCAGCCAUGCCGCGUGUGUGAAGAAGGUCUUCGGAUUGUAAAGCACUUUAAGUUGGGAGGAAGGGCAGUAAGUUAAUACCUUGCUGUUUUGACGUUACCGACAGAAUAAGCACCGGCUAACUCUGUGCCAGCCG